UACAGGGGGUGCAAACGUUGCUCGGAAUCAUUGGGCGUAAAGCGCACGUAGGCGGUCCGUUAUGUCGGAUGUGAAAGCCCUCGGCUCAACUGAGGAAGUGCAUCCGAAACUGGCAGGCUAGAGUACUAAAGAGGGUCGCGGAAUUCCCGGUGUAGAGGUGAAAUUCGUAGAUAUCGGGAGGAACACCGGUGGCGAAGGCGGCGACCUGGGUAGAUACUGACGCUGAGGUGCGAAAGCGUGGGGAGCAAACAGG
RNAcentral lists this ribosomal RNA (253 nucleotides) under uncultured bacterium. Its description in RNAcentral is "partial 16S ribosomal RNA". It matches the Rfam family "Bacterial small subunit ribosomal RNA", at positions 524 to 776 of the family's 1533-position model. The record is from RNAcentral.